Oncorhynchus tshawytscha (Chinook salmon) is the source of this 885-nucleotide long non-coding RNA. The record is from Ensembl. NCBI's taxonomy places the organism in Eukaryota, Metazoa, Chordata, Actinopteri, Salmoniformes, Salmonidae.
GCCUAAAACCCCAAACAGCAAGCAAUGCAGGUGUAGAAGCACAGGGGCUAGGAAAAAACUCCCUAGAACAUGUGUUUAUAUUUUUGUUCAGUGGUGGAACUGGCUAUAUGUCCUUCAGUAGGUACUACUUAUGGGAUGAAGAUGCAACAUUCUGGCAAUGUAUGUAUGAUAUUUGUGAGACAGAUCAUGCUUUCCAUCAGAUCCUGCAACCUCCACUGGAAACAGGGGGGGAAAAACAUCACCAAAUUCACUGAGAAGAGGUCUGCAUACCCUCAACUCAGAUGUUUGUCCGCUGCUUUCGCCGUACCUGGAAGAGAGCCAGCUCUUCUCAAGACCACCUCCAGGUAUCGGCGACAAGCGGACCGCCACCAGACCACGGCUCCCUGGUAUUGUCUCGGGCAGAGGGUAUGGCUGUCCACCCGAGGUCUUCCCCACCGGGUGGAGUCCCUCAAACUUUCCCCCCGUUUUAUCGGCCCUUUACCCAUCUCCAAGAUCAUUAGCCCCUCUGCUGUUCGUCUUUUGUUGCCCCGUACCCUCUAUAUAUACAGUUGAAGUCGGAAGUUUACAUACACUUCGGUUGGAGUCAUUAAAACAAAUUUUUCAACCACUCCACAAAUUUCUUGUUAACAAACUAUAGUUUUGGCAAGUCGGUUAGGACAUCUACUUUCUGCAUGACACAAGUAAUUUUCCAACAAUUGUUUACAGACAGAUUAUUUCACUUAUAAUUCACUGUGUCACAAUUCCAGUGAGUCAGAAGUUUACAUACACAAAAGUUGACUGUGCCGUUAAACAGCUUGGAAAAUUCCAGAAAAUUAUGUAAUGGCUUUAGACGCUUCUGAUAGGCUAAUUGACAUCAUUUGAAUCAAUUGGAGGAGUACCUGUGGG